RNAcentral lists this ribosomal RNA (256 nucleotides) under uncultured bacterium. RNAcentral describes it as "partial 16S ribosomal RNA". It matches the Rfam family "Bacterial small subunit ribosomal RNA", at positions 524 to 776 of the family's 1533-position model. The record is from RNAcentral.
UACGGAGGGGGCUAGCGUUGCUCGGAAUUACUGGGCGUAAAGGGCGCGUAGGCGGCACUGUUAGUCAGGCGUGAAAAGUCCUGGGCUCAACCUGGGAACUGCGCUUGAUACGGCAGAGCUAGAGGAUGGAAGAGGGUCGCGGAAUUCCCAGUGUAGAGGUGAAAAUUCGUAGAUAUUGGGAAGAACACCGGUGGCGAAGGCGGCGACCUGGUCCAUUACUGACGCUGAGGCGCGACAGCGUGGGGGAGCAAACAGG